AUUGAACGCUGGCGGCGUGCCUAACACAUGCAAGUCGAGCGGUAACAGGUGUAGCAAUACAUGCUGACGAGCGGCGAACGGGUGAGUAAUGCUUCGGAAUCUACCCAAUGGUGGGGAAUAACCAGCCGAAAGGUUGGCUAAUACCGCAUACGUCCCACGGGAGAAAGCAGGGGAUCGCAAGACCUUGCGCCAAUGGAUGAGCCGAAGUCGGAUUAGCUAGUUGGAGGGUAACGGCCUACCAAGGCGACGAUCCGUAGCUGGUCUGAGAGGACGACCAGCCACACUGGGACUGAGACACGGCCCAGACUCCUACGGGAGGCAGCAGUGGGGAAUAUUGGACAAUGGGGGAAACCCGUGAUCCAGCGACGCCGCGUGUGUGAAGAAGGCCUGCGGGGUUGUAAAG
This 403-nucleotide ribosomal RNA is filed under the name uncultured bacterium. RNAcentral's name for it is "bacterial SSU rRNA". It matches the Rfam family "Bacterial small subunit ribosomal RNA", at positions 29 to 430 of the family's 1533-position model. The record is from RNAcentral.